GUUAGAUCGUGGCUCAGGAUGAACGCUAGCGGCGCGCUUAAUGCAUGCAAGUCGAGCGAUGAGGCCCUUUCGGGGGCACAUCAGCGGCAGACGGGUGAGUAACACGUGGAUGACCUGCCCCGAAGACGAGGAUAACGGAUGGAAACAUCCGCUAAUACUCGAUGGUCUUGUACUGUCGCAGGUACAAGUAAAGCUCCGUGCUUCGGGAGGGGUCUGCGGCCUAUCAGCUAGUUGGUGAGGUAACGGCCCACCAAGGCUACGACGGGUAGGGGGUGUGAGAGCACGGCCCCCCACAAUGGGACUGAGACACGGCCCAUACUCCUACGGGAGGCAGCAGCAGGGAAUAUUGCACAAUGGACGGAAGUCUGAUGCAGCGACGCCGCGUGGAUGAUGAAGGCCUUCGGGUUGUAAAAUCCUUUUCAGGGGGACGAGGAAGGACGGUACCCUUGGAAUAAGCGUCGGCUAACUACGUGCCAGCAGCCGCGGUAAGACGUAGGACGCGAGCGUUAUCCGGAUUUACUGGGCGUAAAGCGUCUGUAGGCGGAAUGGUAAGUUGGGCGUGAAAGCUCCGGGCUUAACCCGGAGAGGACGUUCAAUACUGCCAAACUAGAGGGCAUCAGAGGAGCGUGGAAUUUCCGGUGUAGCGGUAAAAUGCGCAGAUAUCGGAAGGAACACCAAUGGCGAAGGCAGCGCUCUGGGAUGCACCUGACGCUAAGAGACGAAAGCUAGGGGAGCGAACAGGAUUAGAGACCCUGGUAGUCCUAGCCCUAAACGAUGGAUGCUAGGUGUAGGGCCGCAAGGUUCUGUGCCGGAGCAAACGCGAUAAGCAUCCCGCCUGGGGAAUACGGCCGCAAGGCUAAAACUCAAACGAAUUGACGGGGCCCCGCACAAGCAGCGGAGCGUGUGGUUUAAUUCGAUCUACACGAAGAACCUUACCUGGGUUUGACAUACAAGUGGUAAUGAGGCGAAAGCCAAGUGACCCUUCGGGGAGCUUGUACAGGUGCUGCAUGGCUGUCGUCAGCUCGUGCCGUGAGGUGUCGGGUUAAGUCCCGUAACGAGCGCAACCCUUACCCUUAGUUACAAGUGUCUAAGGGGACUGCCGGCGAUAAGCCGGAGGAAGGUGGGGAUGACGUCAAGUCAGCAUGGCCCAUAUGUCCAGGGCUACACACACGCUACAAUGGUUGGUACAAAGGGCAGCGAAACCGCGAGGCGGAGCGAAUCCCAACAAAGCCAAUCUUAGUUCGAAUUGCAGGCUGCAACUCGCCUGCAUGAAGCUGGAGUUGCUAGUAACCGCGCGUCAGCUAUAGUGCGGUGAAUACGUUCCCGGGGCUUGUACACACCGCCCGUCACGUCAUGGAAGUUGGUAACGCCUGAAGCUGGUAGCCUAGCACGCAAGUGGGGGCGCCAUCGAGGGCGGGGCUAGCAACUGGGACGAAGUCGUAACAAGGUA
Molecule: ribosomal RNA, 1450 nt
Filed under: metagenome
Description: bacterial SSU rRNA
Rfam family: Bacterial small subunit ribosomal RNA
Source: RNAcentral